GUUGUAUGGUUAAGUGACUAAGCGUACACGGUGGAUGCCUUGGCAGUUGGAGGCGAUGAAGGACGUACUAACUUGCGAUAAGCCUAGUUGAGCCAGUAAGAGGCACUUGAGACUAGGAUUUCCGAAUGGGGAAACCCGGCCCUUUGGGUCAUCAUGCAGUGAAUACAUAGCUGUAUGAAGCGAACGCGGAGAACUGAAACAUCUAAGUACCCGUAGGAAAAGAAAUCAACCGAGAUUCCGAAAGUAGCGGCGAGCGAAAUCGGAUUAGCCCUUAAGCUUUAAUGUAGUUAGUGGAACAUUCUGGAAAGUAUGACGAUACAGGGUGACAGUCCCGUACACGACAACUUAUUUAAAGUGAAAUCGAGUAGGUCGGAGCACGUGAAACUUUGACUGAAUAUGGGGGGACCAUCCUCCAAGGCUAAAUACUCCCAACUGACCGAUAGUGAACCAGUACCGUGAGGGAAAGGCGAAAAGAACCCCUGUGAGGGGAGUGAAAUAGAACCUGAAACCGUGUACGUACAAGCAGUAGGAGCCCUUCGAGGGUGACUGCGUACCUUUUGUAUAAUGGGUCAGCGACUUAUAUUCUGUAGCAAGGUUAACCAUUUAGGGGAGCCGUAGCGAAAGCGAGUCUUAACUGGGCGCUUAAGUUGCAGGGUAUAGACCCGAAACCCGGUGAUCUAGCCAUGGGCAGGUUGAAGGUCAGGUAACACUGACUGGAGGACCGAACCCACUAACGUUGAAAAGUUAGGGAUGACCUGUGGCUAGGAGUGAAAGGCUAAUCAAACCGGGAGAUAGCUGGUUCUCCCCGAAAUCUAUUUAGGUAGAGCCUCGGACGAAUACUUACGGGGUAGAGCACUGUUAAGGCUAGGGGGUCAUCCCGACUUACCAACCCUUUGCAAACUCCGAAUACCGUAAAGUACUAUCCGGGAGACACACGGUGG
Molecule: ribosomal RNA, 941 nt
Filed under: Pseudoalteromonas rubra
Lineage: Bacteria; Pseudomonadati; Pseudomonadota; Gammaproteobacteria; Alteromonadales; Pseudoalteromonadaceae
Description: bacterial LSU rRNA
Rfam family: Bacterial large subunit ribosomal RNA
Source: RNAcentral